This 411-nucleotide long non-coding RNA is filed under the name Androctonus crassicauda. The record is from RNAcentral. Lineage: Eukaryota; Metazoa; Arthropoda; Arachnida; Scorpiones; Buthidae.
UCAAUCUGGUAUUUUUAAAAUUUAAAAGAAAAAUUGAAAAAGUGGCAAAAAAUAAAAUAACCUUUAGAAGAAAUAAUAUAUUAUUUAAUGCAUUAAGAAAUGAUAAAGAUCAUUGACAACAACAAAAAAAAUCAGGAGUAUAUCAAGUUCCUAAAAAUCAAUAUGGGCAGGGAUGAAGGUAUAUAUUGGGUGCAUUGCUGGAUCGAUACAAAAAAUAGUUAAGAAACAUAAAGUAGAUAUGAAUAUAGGACAACAGAAUGUUGUACUUGCACAAAGCAUUUUGAACUUUGGUGCCCAGGACAUAUGGAGCAACACAAAAUUAUUAAAGAUGACCCAAGACCUCAUAAGAGAAAAGCUUGCAGAGGCUUUUGAUAUUUUUAACAAUAAAAAGAAAAAUAUUGCUAAUAUAUA